RNAcentral lists this ribosomal RNA (1000 nucleotides) under Bacillus subtilis. RNAcentral describes it as "bacterial SSU rRNA". It matches the Rfam family "Bacterial small subunit ribosomal RNA", at positions 57 to 1040 of the family's 1533-position model. The record is from RNAcentral. Lineage: Bacteria; Bacillati; Bacillota; Bacilli; Caryophanales; Bacillaceae.
GCAAGUCCGAGCGGACAGAUGGGAGCUUGCUCCCUGAUGUUAGCGGCGGACGGGUGAGUAACACGUGGGUAACCUGCCUGUAAGACUGGGAUAACUCCGGGAAACCGGGGCUAAUACCGGAUGGUUGUUUGAACCGCAUGGUUCAAACAUAAAAGGUGGCUUCGGCUACCACUUACAGAUGGACCCGCGGCGCAUUAGCUAGUUGGUGAGGUAACGGCUCACCAAGGCAACGAUGCGUAGCCGACCUGAGAGGGUGAUCGGCCACACUGGGACUGAGACACGGCCCAGACUCCUACGGGAGGCAGCAGUAGGGAAUCUUCCGCAAUGGACGAAAGUCUGACGGAGCAACGCCGCGUGAGUGAUGAAGGUUUUCGGAUCGUAAAGCUCUGUUGUUAGGGAAGAACAAGUACCGUUCGAAUAGGGCGGUACCUUGACGGUACCUAACCAGAAAGCCACGGCUAACUACGUGCCAGCAGCCGCGGUAAUACGUAGGUGGCAAGCGUUGUCCGGAAUUAUUGGGCGUAAAGGGCUCGCAGGCGGUUUCUUAAGUCUGAUGUGAAAGCCCCCGGCUCAACCGGGGAGGGUCAUUGGAAACUGGGGAACUUGAGUGCAGAAGAGGAGAGUGGAAUUCCACGUGUAGCGGUGAAAUGCGUAGAGAUGUGGAGGAACACCAGUGGCGAAGGCGACUCUCUGGUCUGUAACUGACGCUGAGGAGCGAAAGCGUGGGGAGCGAACAGGAUUAGAUACCCUGGUAGUCCACGCCGUAAACGAUGAGUGCUAAGUGUUAAGGGGGUUUCCGCCCCUUAGUGCUGCAGCUAACGCAUUAAGCACUCCGCCUGGGGGAGUACGGUCGCAAGACUGAAACUCAAGGAAUUGACGGGGGCCCGCACAACGGUGGAGCAUGUGGUUUAAUUCGAAGCAACGCGAAGAACCAUACCAGUCUUGACAUCCUCUGACAUCCUAGAGAUAGGACGUCCCCUUCGGGGCAGAGUGACAGGUG